RNAcentral lists this long non-coding RNA (520 nucleotides) under Homo sapiens (human). RNAcentral's name for it is "HSALNT0388351". Lineage: Eukaryota; Metazoa; Chordata; Mammalia; Primates; Hominidae. The record is from RNAcentral.
AAGGCACGAGAUUAAGGAAAGUCUUUGGAUCGACAGACAGUGAUGGGUCAGAAAAGGCCAGUGGUGGGGCUGGCAUCUGCAUUCAGGUUCAUCCCUUGCUCCCUCACCAUGUUUCAAGGGCUAGAGUCAGCAGCUCUGACUUCUGAAUUUUAGGACAGUCAUGUGAGGAGAGACCAGAAGUGACUGCACAGAUCGGACCUCAGGCUACCCUACCCCUUAUCUGUGGGCCAGCCUGGAUCCUUCAGAUGAGAGAUUUUAAACAGAAGGCUAAUAAUUAUCCAGAAGAGACAGGAUGAGGCUUGGACAAAGGAGGUGGAGGGUAUCAAAAGAUAUUUAGAAGAUAAAGGAAGUCUGGACUUGGUGCUGUGGGUAUACCCUCCCUCAUGGCACACACCAGGUUAUUUUGAAGCAAAUCCUAGACGUCAUCAAACAGUUCAAAUUGCCCAAGUGUCUCCUACACACUUCUUUUUUCUUUUACAGUUUGUUUGAAUCUGGGUCCAAAUAAAGUCCACACAUUGCA